Molecule: ribosomal RNA, 320 nt
Filed under: uncultured eukaryote
Lineage: Eukaryota
Description: partial 18S ribosomal RNA
Rfam family: Eukaryotic small subunit ribosomal RNA
Source: RNAcentral
CCCUUAGAUGUUCUGGGCUGCACGCGUGCUACAAUGGCGCUUGCAACAAGUCUUGCCAACCCGAUAGGGUGAGCGGAUCUUUGAAGAGGCGUCGUGAUCGGGACAGUUGAUUGCAAUUAUUCGACUCGAACGAGGAAUUCCUUGUAAUCGCGAUUCAUCAUAUCGCGCUGAAUACGUCCCUGCCCUUUGUACACACCGCCCGUCGCUCCUACCGAUUGAGCGAUCCGGUGAAUGUCUUGGACUGGCGUCAGAAGCGGUCCGCUCCUGACACUACGAAAUUUUGUAAACCUUAUCGCUUAGAGGAAGGAAAAGUCGUAACA